ACAGCUGCGCCCCGCCGCGCCCGGGUGCCGCUUGCCGCACCCCCGAGCCUGAGCCCGUCUACCUCGUGGCUGCCUGAGGCCCGGGGUGGUUAUGAAGAUAAAAUGCAAUAAAUGUGUGUGAGGGCAACUGACGAGCCAGGAAGCCUUGGCAUCCAGAGUUAUUACUGGGACGUCAUGGGAAAUGAGGAUAUGGGAACAGAGUAUUUAUGCAUUUAUUCAAACUCAUCUCUAACAACCGUGCUUUGAAGGCUGGCUGCAUCCCAGGCCCUACAGAUCUAGGCUGGCUGGGGCGGUGGCUCAUGCCUGUAAUCCCAGCACUUUGAGAGGCCGAGACCGGUGGAUCACGAGAUCAUCAGGAGAUGAGACCAUCCUGGCUAACAUGUUAGCCUGGCCUCCAGAGCUCUUGGACUGCAGCACCCAUAAUGAUGGCCAAAGCCGCCCCCACGGCGACUCCUCCUGCUGAAGCAAAGUCAGGCAGAACAAUAAGAUGAGCAUGGUGGUGCAGGCCUGUAAUCUCAGCUCCUCAGGCGGGAGGAUCACUUGAUCCCCGGAAGUUUGAAGCUGGACUGCGCUGACCGCACCUGUGAAUACCACUGCCCGUCAAUCAGCCUAGGGGAAACAUUCUCGAGUGCGAGCAUGACGGCUUAGGUUGAUGUUUUUCAAAUUUUCCCAAUGAUGAGUAUUGUAAGGGACCAAAAUAAAAAAAUGCCAAUGCCUA
Molecule: long non-coding RNA, 718 nt
Organism: Homo sapiens (human)
Lineage: Eukaryota; Metazoa; Chordata; Mammalia; Primates; Hominidae
Gene: ANKRD11-DT
Product: ANKRD11 divergent transcript
Exons: 5
Source: RefSeq, marked validated